RNAcentral lists this unclassified non-coding RNA (313 nucleotides) under Cimex lectularius (bed bug). RNAcentral describes it as "Metazoan signal recognition particle RNA". It matches the Rfam family "Metazoan signal recognition particle RNA", at positions 1 to 229 of the family's 299-position model. From Rfam's summary of the family: The signal recognition particle (SRP) is a universally conserved ribonucleoprotein. It is involved in the co-translational targeting of proteins to membranes. The eukaryotic SRP consists of a 300-nucleotide 7S RNA and six proteins: SRPs 72, 68, 54, 19, 14, and 9. The record is from Rfam by way of RNAcentral. Lineage: Eukaryota; Metazoa; Arthropoda; Insecta; Hemiptera; Cimicidae.
ACUGGGAGUAGAGGCGUGCUCCUGUAAUCCAGCUACUUUGAGGUCGGGUCUCGAGGAUGGUUUGAGACCGGGAACCGCUGUGGUUGGGUGUUUCUAAGUUAACCAGGCGUCCGCACUAAGCUAAUCAUCAACAUGGUUGUUUCCGGGGAGCCGGAAAUGUCCAAGUUGCUAAGUAGGGGCGAACCGGGCCAGGAUAUGGUGCAACGAGCGCCUAUAAGAUAAGACCAAUUGGAAUGCUGUUAUGUUUGCUGAUGAGGAGUGCGUUUCUGUAUGUAUAGUGAUAGCAGGCGCCGAAGAGUCUACCGAGAACGGG